RNAcentral lists this ribosomal RNA (253 nucleotides) under uncultured bacterium. Its description in RNAcentral is "partial 16S ribosomal RNA". It matches the Rfam family "Bacterial small subunit ribosomal RNA", at positions 524 to 776 of the family's 1533-position model. The record is from RNAcentral.
GACAGAGGUGCCGAGCGUUAGGCGGAAUCACUGGGCUUAAAGCGUGUGUAGGCGGGUCCGUAAGUACCUUGUGAAAUCCCACGGCUCAACCGUGGAACUGCUUGGUAUACUGCGGGUCUUGAGCCACCUAGGGGCAAGCGGAACAAACGGUGGAGCGGUGAAAUGCGUAGAUAUCGGUUGGAACGCCAAUGGUGAAAACAGCUUGCUGGGGGUGUGCUGACGCUGAGACACGAAAGCCAGGGGAGCAAACGGG